This 29-nucleotide non-coding RNA is filed under the name Rattus norvegicus (Norway rat). The record is from RNAcentral. Lineage: Eukaryota; Metazoa; Chordata; Mammalia; Rodentia; Muridae.
GCCCCUUCUACUUUUGAGCAUCGCCGUCU